CCACCCAGUCACCCCAAGAGAUACACUUCUAACUAUAAAAAAUAAUUCAUGAGGGUGAAAAUUAUCUCCUAGGGAAUAUAGUCCAUAAUAUUUUAAGACUUUGUAGGGUGACUGAUGGUAACCACACUCACAAUAGCAAGCACUGCAUAAUGUAUAUAAUUGUCAAAUCACUAUGUAGUACACCUGGAACUAAUAGUAUAUGCCAACUAUACUUUGGCUUAAAAAAAUCUAGCCUCGUCUAACUCUAAAAAAAAAAAAUGAUGGUGGAGAGUGCCAGGGAAUGUUCUGAGGUCACUUUGUAUCCUUAGCUGGGUGUUCUGUGUCUUUGCCAAUAACUUACCUCUGAAGGCAGUUUGUAUCCUCAGCUGGGUGGUCUGUGUCUUUGCCAAUAAUUUACCUCACUCCCCUCCCCUGGUCAUUUUUUUAGCUUAUUUAUUUUAAGUAAUCUCUACAUCCAACAUGGGGCCUGAACCCACAAUCAAGAGUCACACACUCUUCCAAUGAGCCAGCCAGAUGCUCAUCCCCUGGUCAUUUUUUUUAACCUAAAGAUUAUAGACUUCAACAAACCAAUUCAUUAACAAGGGAUAACUACAUUGAGGUCUAAUGAUGAGACACAGGGGGAGAAAACUUCCAGGAGCACUAUUCAGGAAGAUUAAACCAGUCUUCUACAGUGAGGAACAGAGGAAGUGGAGAUAUUCCCUUCCAAGAUACUUGGGAAAUAUCUGUAAUUUCUCUCAUUUAUUUCGUCUUGUGGUUCACAUAGAUGUUGACGUGAAUGGAUCCAGAUUCAGAAAUUUCAUGAGGAGAAAAAUGGAAGUGUGAGAUUUGGCUCCUUCACUGCACUGGUUCUCCUCUGAAUUAUAGCAAGUUUUCCUUUCAUUCAGUCAAAAAAAUAUUUAUUGAGCACCUACUAUGUGUCAGACACCGAGGUAGGCUCUGGGCCUAGGAUGGUGAACCAAAUGAAGGCCCCACCCUCAUGGGGUUCACAUUGUAACGUGGAAGGCAGACAAGGAACAAUGACAUUUAUAAUGUCAGGUUGUGGUAAAUGCUGAACAAAACUAGAGCAGGAUGAGAGGAGAGAGAGUGAUGGGGGUAGGGUGGUGGGUGGAUGACACUGUGCCGAGAUGAAAACAAGGUGAAGGCUGUGCACAUACCUGGAGGAAGGGUGUCUCAGACAGAGAACUCAGAAUAUUGCAGCAGGAAAAAGACUGCUAUCCAGAGAACAGAGCAAACAGCUGGUGGGAAGGGUGGAAGUCCUUCUGACAUGAGGCUAGCAACCUCUUGAGUGGUCUUGGUCGGCCAAGGCAGGAGUCUGUAGACAUGGUCAGCCUUCCUCAGACCUGACUUUUCCAUCUUCCAACACCAGCCUUGGCCUGACCUCUGCUCCCCCAGACCCUGCAUGGGAACUGCAACCCAGCAGAGUUGCUUCUGGUCUCUGUCCAACAUUAAAAUGGUCUAGGGAGGUGUGGAAUUGAGGUUAUUUUGUCUAAGAAGCUUCCUGUACCCUGACCAAUCCCAGUUUUGUUCCAAAUGGAUUAUGGGAGUAAAGGUUGGAAGACAUGGUGUUUACUGUCCCCAUUUUAUCAAGGAUGGAAUUGAGUCUGGAAAAACGAAACAAUUUGCCUAGUCUGGACUUUAACCUAAACCUCUGACUCCAGAUCUCAGGACUUUCCACUAGAUGUUGCCCUUGGCGUCGAGGGGAGGUGCCCUUGCUUCACUCCUCAACUUGAGUUUCUCCAGCUCCCUCAGUUCCUGCACCGUCCUGACGGUCACCUGGUUCUUCCUGUUGUCGUCCGCGAAGAUGGGAGUACAGCAGAUGAAGGCCCUGCGGUGGGCAGAGGGGCCACCCCAUCAUCAGCUAGCAGCACCUGCAAGCGAAGCAGGGAUACGGUGAGACAGAGCUCUCCAGGCCUUGAGAUUCAACCCGGUCACCAGGCGGGACACAAGAUCCUGGCUAAAGCAAGCCACAUGCUGGUGCUGUUCCUCUUUUUUGUCUUUUUAAAGUUUUACAGACUUAAAUAGGAGAAUAUAGGAUGAAGGCGGUGGUUCAAUUCCGGGGAGUAAAAGUGCAUUUAAUAUGGUGCUGGUAUAAUUAGUACCCAUCGGAGAGAAAAUAAAAUUGGAUGCCUGUUUCAUACCAUGUACAAAGACUUAAACAGAAGAAGUAAAACCAUACAAAUCCUGAAAGAGAAUCUAGGAGACUACAUGUACAAUCUGAGGGUGGGUGCGACCUUCUUAAGCAAGACUGGAAACCCAGAAGCUGUAAAAGAGAAGAGAGACAUAUUUGACUACAUAAAAACUUAAAAUCUUACUGUGGCAAGAGAUUGCAUAAACAAAGAAACAAACAACAGAAGUAAAAGAAGUAUCUUCAGCAUAAAAGCCUGAAGUUAGUAUUUUAAUAACAAAGAAUUUUCACAUAUUAUCAAAACCCCAUAGAAAGAUGGGCCAAGCCCAUAAAUAAGUAUCUGAUAGAGAACAAUUCCAAGUGACCCAACAUAAUAAGAAGGUAUUCACACUUACCGAUAAGCAACAAAAGAUAAAAUGAAACAAGGAGAUAUCAUUUAUAUAUAGCAGAUGGGCAAAUAUUUAAAAGACUAUACCGACUGCUGGCAAAGAUAUAGGUCUUGUCAUAUAUUGCUGGUAGAAAUGUAAAAUACUGUAUAUGAUUUUGGAAACCAAUAUCUAGCAAUAUUUAAUAAAAUUGGUAACACGUUUCCACUCAGGAAUUUUGUGCCUGGUUUUCUAUCCCAUGGAAAUACAAGCACUUGUAAGAAAGAUACUUGCAAAGAUAUUUACUGCAGUGUUGUUCAUAGGGCAAAAAAAAAACUAGAAGCAAAAUGUACCCAAUAAAAGUGGAAUGGCUGGAAAAUUUUUGGCAUAGCCACACAGUGGAAUGCUGGGUGGCCAUUAAAAAACAAUGAAUUAGAGCCAAUGCCAAGUGAAUUGGAAGAAUUUCCAUGUGGCAGAAAAGUGCAACGAGGUCCCGUUUUUAAUGUUCUGCGUGUUGUAUGUGCCUAUAUAAAAUGGCUAUGGCAAGAUGUAUGUAUGGUACACUAAGAGCACGGAUGAAUUAUAAAAGCAAGCAUACUAAAUUGCC
Acinonyx jubatus (cheetah) is the source of this 3097-nucleotide long non-coding RNA. RefSeq lists it as uncharacterized. Lineage: Eukaryota; Metazoa; Chordata; Mammalia; Carnivora; Felidae. The record is from RefSeq and is a predicted model, not a curated record. The transcript has 6 exons.